Molecule: ribosomal RNA, 253 nt
Filed under: uncultured bacterium
Lineage: Bacteria
Description: partial 16S ribosomal RNA
Rfam family: Bacterial small subunit ribosomal RNA
Source: RNAcentral
UACGUAGGGUGCGAGCGUUGUCCGGAAUUAUUGGGCGUAAAGGGCUCGUAGGCGGUUUGUCGCGUCGGGAGUGAAAACACCGGGCUUAACUCGGUGCUUGCUUUCGAUACGGGCAGACUAGAGGUAUGCAGGGGAGAACGGAAUUCCUGGUGUAGCGGUGAAAUGCGCAGAUAUCAGGAGGAACACCGGUGGCGAAGGCGGAUCUCUGGGCCAUUACUGACGCUGAGGAGCGAAAGCGUGGGGAGCGAACAGG